Non-coding RNA from Acanthosepion pharaonis, 114 nucleotides. Lineage: Eukaryota; Metazoa; Mollusca; Cephalopoda; Sepiida; Sepiidae. The record is from the annotation of a GenBank genome assembly.
UUACAGCCACAUCAGGUUGAAACACCGGUUCCCGUACGAUUAUUGAAGUUAAGCAACGUUGAACAUGGUCAGUACCGAGGGGUGUGACCGCUUGGGAAUAUCAGUUGGUGUAAG